RNAcentral lists this ribosomal RNA (254 nucleotides) under uncultured bacterium. RNAcentral's name for it is "partial 16S ribosomal RNA". It matches the Rfam family "Bacterial small subunit ribosomal RNA", at positions 524 to 775 of the family's 1533-position model. The record is from RNAcentral.
UACGGAGGGGGCUAGCGUUGUUCGGAAUUACUGGGCGUAAAGCGCACGUAGGCGGCUUUGUAAGUUAGAGGUGAAAGCCCGGGGCUCAACUCCGGAAUUGCCUUUAAGACUGCAUCGCUAGAAUUGUGGAGAGGUAAGUGGAAUUCCGAGUGUAGAGGUGAAAUUCGUAGAUAUUCGGAAGAACACCAGUGGCGAAGGCGACUUACUGGACACAUAUUGACGCUGAGGUGGCGAAAAGCGUGGGGAGCAACAGG